UUCAAUCAUAAAAGGUGGCUUUUAGCUACCACUUACAGAUGGACCCGCGGCGCAUUAGCUAGUUGGUGAGGUAACGGCUCACCAAGGCGACGAUGCGUAGCCGACCUGAGAGGGUGAUCGGCCACACUGGGACUGAGACACGGCCCAGACUCCUACGGGAGGCAGCAGUAGGGAAUCUUCCGCAAUGGACGAAAGUCUGACGGAGCAACGCCGCGUGAGUGAUGAAGGUUUUCGGAUCGUAAAACUCUGUUGUUAGGGAAGAACAAGUACCGUUCGAAUAGGGCGGCACCUUGACGGUACCUAACCAGAAAGCCACGGCUAACUACGUGCCAGCAGCCGCGGUAAUACGUAGGUGGCAAGCGUUGUCCGGAAUUAUUGGGCGUAAAGCGCGCGCAGGCGGUUUCUUAAGUCUGAUGUGAAAGCCCCCGGCUCAACCGGGGAGGGUCAUUGGAAACUGGGGAACUUGAGUGCAGAAGAGGAGAGUGGAAUUCCACGUGUAGCGGUGAAAUGCGUAGAGAUGUGGAGGAACACCAGUGGCGAAGGCGACUCUCUGGUCUGUAACUGACGCUGAGGCGCGAAAGCGUGGGGAGCGAACAGGAUUAGAUACCCUGGUAGUCCACGCCGUAAACGAUGAGUGCUAAGUGUUAGAGGGUUUCCGCCCUUUAGUGCUGCAGCAAACGCAUUAAGCACUCCGCC
RNAcentral lists this ribosomal RNA (696 nucleotides) under bacterium. RNAcentral describes it as "bacterial SSU rRNA". It matches the Rfam family "Bacterial small subunit ribosomal RNA", at positions 193 to 873 of the family's 1533-position model. The record is from RNAcentral.